GCAUAAUCAAUAGUUUUUUAAUUGAAGACUGGAAUGAAAGAUAGAAACUAAGAAGGGAUGUUUUAUUCAAUAAUUUUGAACUUUAAUUUGUAGUUAAAAUGCUAUAAUAAUUCUUUGGGACGAGAAGACCCUAGAAGCUUAAAAAUUAAGAAUUUUUUUAUUGGGGCAAUAUAUGAAGAAAAAAUUUUUGUAAUAUGAAAGAUAAUUUAAAUAGUUACUCUAGGGAUAACAGCAUAAUUUAAUUGAAGAGUUCUUAUCAAUAAUUAAGUUUGUGACCUCGAUGUUGAAUUAAAA
This 294-nucleotide ribosomal RNA is filed under the name Ventripila marginata. RNAcentral's name for it is "partial 16S ribosomal RNA". Lineage: Eukaryota; Metazoa; Arthropoda; Arachnida; Opiliones; Cranaidae. The record is from RNAcentral.